UACGUAGGGGGCAAGCGUUGUCCGGAUUUACUGGGCGUAAAGAGCGUGUAGGCGGCCAAGCAGGUCCGUUGUGAAAACUGGAGGCUUAACCUCCAGACGUCGACGGAAACCGCGUGGCUAGAGUCCGGAAGAGGAGAGUGGAAUUCCUGGUGUAGCGGUGAAAUGCGCAGAUAUCAGGAGGAACACCGGUGGCGAAGGCGGUUCUCUGGGCCUGUACUGACGCUGAGGAACGAAAGCGUGGGGAGCGAACAGG
RNAcentral lists this ribosomal RNA (253 nucleotides) under uncultured bacterium. RNAcentral describes it as "partial 16S ribosomal RNA". It matches the Rfam family "Bacterial small subunit ribosomal RNA", at positions 524 to 776 of the family's 1533-position model. The record is from RNAcentral.